AUUCAAUUUUGUCCAUUCCACACUUUUCGGUUCUCUCACUCACAUUUGCGUGACAGAAGUUGUAUUACUUUUGCAUUGUAAACUUGAAUUAAAUUUUAAUUAAUUGCUUAAAUCACGUUUUAAUAAAUAUUAUUAGACUAUUGUCAACAAGGAAUUCAUUUUCUGGAAUCAUUUAAAGAGGGAGCAUUUUGCUGAUGUGAUAUUAUAGAAAUGUCAUCAUAUAUGGCAGGUGUUUUUGAUUUGGAUUUAGAUGUGGAUCCUGAUACUGUAAACGUUGGAGAUUCCGACGAAGACGAUAUUAUUGAAGUCGAUGAGGUCGAUUACGAACCCGAAUUACACGUGAAUAGCAUUGUUGAGCAAGAAGGCUCUGAGACUAUUCAAUUAUCUGAAGACAAUGUUAACCCAGGUCAAUGCAAACGCCUUGGUCCUCAAGAUUUCGAACUACGUAAAGUUUUGGGAAAGGGUGGAUAUGGCAAAGUGUUCCAAGUGCGAAAAAUAACAGGUGCUGAUGCUGGUGCACAUUUUGCUAUGAAAGUGCUCAAAAAAGCUUCCAUAGUUCGAAAUCAGAAAGACACAGCACACACAAAAGCGGAGAGAAAUAUUUUGGAAGCUGUAAAGCACCCAUUUAUAGUGGAAUUAGUAUAUGCUUUCCAAACAGGUGGUAAACUAUACUUAAUAUUAGAAUACCUAAGUGGUGGCGAGCUAUUUAUGCACCUUGAGAGAGAAGGGAUUUUCCUAGAGGACACAGCUUGCUUUUAUUUAUCAGAAAUUAUAUUGGCACUGGAACAUUUACAUAGUUUAGGCAUAAUUUAUCGUGAUUUGAAACCAGAAAAUGUUCUAUUGGAUGCCCAAGGCCAUGUAAAACUUACAGAUUUUGGAUUAUGUAAAGAACAUAUUCAGGAGGGUAUUGUCACACAUACAUUCUGCGGUACCAUUGAAUAUAUGGCACCGGAGAUCCUAACAAGGAGUGGUCAUGGAAAAGCCGUAGAUUGGUGGAGUCUGGGAGCACUUAUGUAUGACAUGCUCAUUGGACAGCCUCCAUUCACCGGCGACAAUCGUACAAAAACCAUAGAGAAAAUAUUAAAGGGUAAACUAAUGCUGCCAGCCUACCUCACACAAGACGCUCGCGAGCUGAUCCGUCGCCUCAUGAAGCGAUCGGAGACUCAACGUCUGGGCGCCGCAGGCGCUCAGGCAGUACGCGGUCACGCCUUCUUCAAACAUGUCAACUGGGAGGACGUCUUCUCUCGCAGACUGGAACCUCCUAUUAAACCUAGACUGACUGGUGAAGACGAUGUCUCACAAUUCGACACCCGGUUCACACUGCAGACGCCUAUCGAUUCGCCAGAUGAGUCGACACUUAGCGAAAGUGCCAACCUCAUGUUCCAGGGCUUCACAUACGUGGCGCCAUCUGUCAUGGACGAGAUUCACAAGCCGCGCGUGAUCACGGCGCGCUCGCCGCGGCGCCCGCGCCCGCACCACCACGCCGCGUUCGCCGUGCCGCUCGCCUCCACCGCGCACCAGCCGGAGGACCUCAUGGAUGUACAAGGUCUACCUAUAUACAAGUGAUGAGAUUGGCCAGCAAGAGGAGAAUCUUCGGAAUCCCAGAUUGUAGCACUGUUAGGCCUAGAAUAAUUCACAUUAGUUGACCAUUUAUACUAAGGAUGAUGAAUUAAACUACAAAGAUGCCCAUGUAAUACUGUCGGUGAAAAUAAUGGUACUGUUUUAUACUAUUAUUAAUGGACAUUUUAUACAAGUUACCGUUUAGUCUAAUAUUUGGGUAGAAUAAUCACGUAUAUUAAAAUGUUCUAACUCCGACUAUUUGACAAAAAUAAUAAUUUACAAUAUAACUUGUUACCAUGCUUCAUGAAUUGAAAUAAAGGUCAUUUUUUAUUUUGUAA
This 1898-nucleotide unclassified non-coding RNA is filed under the name Leguminivora glycinivorella. Its description in RNAcentral is "ribosomal protein S6 kinase beta-1, transcript variant X3". The record is from RNAcentral. Lineage: Eukaryota; Metazoa; Arthropoda; Insecta; Lepidoptera; Tortricidae.